CCUACGGGUGGCAGCAGUGGGGAAUAUUGGACAAUGGGCGAAAGCCUGAUCCAGCCAUGCCGCGUGUGUGAAGAAGGCCUUCGGGUUGUAAAGCACUUUCAGUGGGGAAGAAAGCCUUGGGGCUAAUACCCUCGAGGAAGGACAUCACCCACAGAAGAAGCACCGGCUAACUCCGUGCCAGCAGCCGCGGUAAUACGGAGGGUGCGAGCGUUAAUCGGAAUUACUGGGCGUAAAGCGCGCGUAGGCGGUCUGAUAAGCCGGUUGUGAAAGCCCCGGGCUCAACCUGGGAACGGCAUCCGGAACUGUCAGGGUAGAGUGCAGGAGAGGAAGGUAGAAUUCCCGGUGGAGCGGUGAAAUGCGGAGAGAUCGGGAGGAAUACCAGUGGCGAAGGCGGCCUUCUGGACUGGCACUGACGCUGAGGUGCGAAAGCGUGGGUAGCAAACAGGAUUAGAUACCCUAGUAGUC
RNAcentral lists this ribosomal RNA (465 nucleotides) under Vreelandella stevensii. Its description in RNAcentral is "partial 16S ribosomal RNA". It matches the Rfam family "Bacterial small subunit ribosomal RNA", at positions 338 to 795 of the family's 1533-position model. Lineage: Bacteria; Pseudomonadati; Pseudomonadota; Gammaproteobacteria; Oceanospirillales; Halomonadaceae. The record is from RNAcentral.